This 828-nucleotide long non-coding RNA is filed under the name Gallus gallus (chicken). The record is from RNAcentral. Lineage: Eukaryota; Metazoa; Chordata; Aves; Galliformes; Phasianidae.
CGUCCCUCUUGAGCUUCUCCAUGAAGUCCCGCUUGUCCUCUUCACCCACGUACACCUUCUCGCUCUUAUUCAGGAAGUCCACGUCCUUCAGCGUGGGCAGCUCUUUGCCCUUCUCUUUAUCGCUCGCUUCCCGUGACACCAGCGAGCCCUUCAGGUCGUACUUCCUGUGCACGGGCAGCCGGUGGCUGAAGGUGUUGCGCAUGGCCAGCAGGUAGCUCUCCUCGCUCUCCACGCUGGCGCGGUACAUCCCCAGGAACUGAGGCAGCAGAGUGCUGCCGUGGCACUGCACCACGUACUGGUGGUAGUGGGACAGCAGCCCGUGCACGUCGGCCACGUCCUCACUCGACAGCUCCUUCACCACCAGCGUGCGGUCGUAGGACAGCAGCAGGCGGCGGUCGCCGUCCUCAGCGUGGGGGGGGCUGCGCGUCAGCGACACCUGGUAGUCCUGGUCGUCGAUGCCGAAGCGCUCACGGAGGUUGCGGAAGACCUGGGGGCAGUACUCCUUGAACUUGAAGUGGCUGGGGAGGUGCUCCCGGUUGAAGAGGUGGUUGUUCACUUUGAUCUUGGAGCUGGCCUUGAAGUCGUCCGGCAGCAGCAUGACGGGGGGGGGCACCUGGCUCAGCUCGUUGAUCUGGUGGUUGACGCCCCAGGCCAGCACGGCCAGCAGCGGGUCGGCCGCCCGCGGCACCUUCACCCGCUGCGGCACGAAGCGCUUCUGCUUCUUUUUGGUCUUGGUACGCGGCGCCGCCGGCCCCGCCGCCGCAGCCAUGGCCGCCCGCUUCCGCCCGCCCCGCUUCCGCCCGCCGCGCCGCGGCGACGGAAGCGGGC